Molecule: ribosomal RNA, 429 nt
Filed under: Chloroflexota bacterium
Lineage: Bacteria; Bacillati; Chloroflexota
Description: Chloroflexi bacterium partial 16S ribosomal RNA
Rfam family: Bacterial small subunit ribosomal RNA
Source: RNAcentral
UGGGGAAUAUUGCACAAUGGGCGCAAGCCUGAUGCAGCCAUGCCGCGUGUAUGAAGAAGGCCUUCGGGUUGUAAAGUACUUUCAGUCGGGAGGAAGGUGGUAAGGUUAAUAACCUUGGCAAUUGACGUUACCGACAGAAGAAGCACCGGCUAACUCCGUGCCAGCAGCCGCGGUAAUACGGAGGGUGCAAGCGUUAAUCGGAAUUACUGGGCGUAAAGCGCACGCAGGCGGUUGAUUGAGUUAGAUGUGAAAUCCCCGGGCUUAACCCGGGAAUUGCAUCUGAUACUGGUCAGCUAGAGUCUUGUAGAGGGGGGUAGAAUUCCAUGUGUAGCGGUGAAAUGCGUAGAGAUGUGGAGGAAUACCGGUGGCGAAGGCGGCCCCCUGGACAAAGACUGACGCUCAGGUGCGAAAGCGUGGGGAGCAAACAGG